GUCCACGCUGUAAACGAUGGGUACUAGGCGUCGGGGGAGCGACCCCUUCGGUGCCGUCGCUAACGCAAUAAGUACCCCGCCUGGGGAGUACGGUCGCAAGACUGAAACUCAAAGGAAUUGACGGGGCCCGCACAAGCGGUGGAGCAUGUGGUUUAAUUCGACGCAACGCGAACAACCUUACCUAGGCUUGAACUACUGGAAGUAGAAUUGAUGAAAAUCGAGACGACCUGUUAAGUCAGGAACCAGCAGAGGUGCUGCAUGGCUGUCGU
This 269-nucleotide ribosomal RNA is filed under the name uncultured bacterium. RNAcentral describes it as "partial 16S ribosomal RNA". It matches the Rfam family "Bacterial small subunit ribosomal RNA", at positions 793 to 1055 of the family's 1533-position model. The record is from RNAcentral.